RNAcentral lists this transfer RNA (73 nucleotides) under Sus scrofa (pig). It matches the Rfam family "tRNA". Rfam says of the family: Transfer RNA (tRNA) molecules are approximately 80 nucleotides in length. Their secondary structure includes four short double-helical elements and three loops (D, anti-codon, and T loops). Further hydrogen bonds mediate the characteristic L-shaped molecular structure. tRNAs have two regions of fundamental functional importance: the anti-codon, which is responsible for specific mRNA codon recognition, and the 3' end, to which the tRNAs corresponding amino acid is attached (by aminoacyl-tRNA synthetases). tRNAs cope with the degeneracy of the genetic code in two manners: having more than one tRNA (with a specific anti-codon) for a particular amino acid; and 'wobble' base-pairing, i.e. permitting non-standard base-pairing at the 3rd anti-codon position. The record is from Rfam by way of RNAcentral. Lineage: Eukaryota; Metazoa; Chordata; Mammalia; Artiodactyla; Suidae.
UCCCUGGUGGCCUAGUGGUUAAGGAUCCAGCACUCUCACUGCUGUGGAGCAGGUUCGAUCCCUGGCCCGGGGA